This 72-nucleotide transfer RNA is filed under the name Bos taurus (domestic cattle). It matches the Rfam family "tRNA". From Rfam's summary of the family: Transfer RNA (tRNA) molecules are approximately 80 nucleotides in length. Lineage: Eukaryota; Metazoa; Chordata; Mammalia; Artiodactyla; Bovidae. RNAcentral also lists the same sequence under 4 other names. The record is from Rfam by way of RNAcentral.
UCCUUGGUAGCUUAACUAGUAAAGAAUCUGCCUGCAAUGCAGGAGACCCCGGUUCGAUUCCUGGGUUGGGAA